Molecule: long non-coding RNA, 2098 nt
Organism: Poeciliopsis prolifica (blackstripe livebearer)
Lineage: Eukaryota; Metazoa; Chordata; Actinopteri; Cyprinodontiformes; Poeciliidae
Exons: 4
Source: RefSeq, a predicted model, not a curated record
GGGCCGCUUUCGAAGUUUAUCGUCUCUUUUACGGGCAGGCGGGAACAGAGGAGGAAACAGAGGGUUACGCCAAACUGAACGAAAAGGCAGAGCCGUGAAAGCGGAGCGGAGCGGCAGCACCUGUCUGUCGUUGCGUUCCUCCAGGGGUCCAGUGACCUUAAAGUCACCCUGCGGAGCAAAAGGACGAGCAUGAGGAAACACCAGAACAAAGUGAAGAGAACAAAUCACACUUAAAAGCUCAAAUGGUUGUUAAUGAAUAAACAUCAAUAUGAAGGAAGGAAAUCUACCAAAUGCAAAUACAAACAAAUGUAAACAAGAAAUCCAAUCAGCAGAAAUGAUCGAAUUUUACUUGAAAAAGAUUAGAAUAUAUGUUGACUUUUAAAAUAUUCUUUUUACAUAUUUGUUGAAACAUUUUUUUAUCUCCUCUGCAUUCACGGCAAAAACACAAAAUCCCCCCCGGCCGUUUCUGCUGCAACACUCCGUACGCUUGAAAUGAGGGGAAACUGGAUUACGUGUGGCUUUUCAGCGAGAUAUAGAAAAUUGUUUCAAGUCAAUACUUCACGGCUCACACUUACGUCAUGAAGAGGGAAGGCGGCGUCAUAUACGCCCUUGGCUAUCAAUGUGCUGAUGCCUGGAAAAGAGAAGAGGGGCAUCGGUGAGGUCAGGUCAGGUCACGUCACGUCUCAAGUAUUAUUUUAAAUGGAGCAGGUUUUAAAUCAGAAACUCAAGACCAUUGGUCAGAGUGAAGAAAAAAAAAACAGAUAGCAAAGCAGUUCUGUUAAUUGAGUUUUUCAGACGCGGUCCAACUAAAAUGUAAAAUGUCAGCCUAUAUGGACAAGUUCAAUGCGUCUUUUUGUUUUGAAUUUUGCAACUUUUCAUUCCGAUCUCUGAAGAGCUUUCAAAGAAAACUUGUUGUAUGUUACUUGUGCUUUGAGCUGAUGAACGUAGAAAUGAUUGUGUCAGAGAUGAUACUGCAUCAUAUCCAUCGGAGAUCUGUGAAUUGAACCGAAUUGAAAUCACAUUGUGACGUCCAUUGUAAUGUAAUCUCAACAACACAAUUUAAUAUUGCAUAAUAGUGAUUUAAACGGCUAGCUUAAGAGUUUAUAUCUUUGUAGAAUUUUAUGUGAUAAACACCCAAUGUCAAUGUAGAAUUGGUGUCAAUCACCAAUUUAAUUGACUUUUAACAUCAUCAUUUAUAUGUUCUAUUGUGCUCUCAGAUAUUGCUCCUGUGCGUCGUUUGUUUGACAGAGGGAAGAGAGAGAACAUGAGAAGAGGAAACAGAACUGAAGCACCCACUUCAAAAUAAGAGGAUGAUUGUGCAGCUAAAUACAUGAAGAAUUUUUAACAGUUGCUCUGUGAGAACCUGCUGGCUGAGGCCGUCUGCUGCCAUGGGCCAGCCAACCAGACAUAUGGGGGACACUGGACAUGAAAAGGGUGUCAGCUCAUUUCCACAGAGGAACCACGGCUCGCACACAGGAGAAAAUAGCAACCAGGUGUUGCUAAGGAGGCGAAGAGAUGGAUCCGAAGUGGUGAAGUUUGGUCAUAAGCAGAGAACAUAGCAGAUGGAUGGAUGGACGUUCGGAGCGACGGACGGACAGUUGGACAGAGUCUUACAUGUGCAGUUUGUCUCUGGAGAAGCAGUGGGACAGGAACUUGGUGCUGCCGUGGUCCUGGUGUGGUAUUUUGGGCUCAAAGGGCUGGUUCAGUUUCCUCCACAGCGAGCUCAUACUGGACCCAAAGCCACUUUCCUCUUUGAGUUCGUAACUCUGAGGAAAAAGCAGGUCAACAGACAUGCUGGUCACUCAGCUUUGAACACUAGAAGUACUUUAGACUUUGAGAGGAAUCGUCCCUUCAUCAGACACUUCACUACAUUUAUAUUAAAUUUGGUAUGUUAAUAAAGAUUUCAACUGAACUUAAUCAUGUAUCAUUUUCCAAUAAUGCACUUCUUUAGGUGUCAGUCGCAUAAAUCCCACUUGAAAUGUGAAAGUUUGUGCCUGGAAUGUGUAUGAAGUCUUUGCAUGAAGUCUGGAAGUGAACUCCGUGUUUCGUCGGUUUCGUGUUUUUAGAAUCUGGUCUGCGUCAGAAUCUCACCUGCUUG